UACGUAGGGUGCAAGCGUUAUCCGGAAUUAUUGGGCGUAAAGAGCUCGUAGGCGGUUUGUCGCGUCUGCUGUGAAAACUGGAGGCUCAACCUCCAGCCUGCAGUGGGUACGGGCAAACUAGAGUGCGGUAGGGGAGAUUGGAAUUCCUGGUGUAGCGGUGGAAUGCGCAGAUAUCAGGAGGAACACCGAUGGCGAAGGCGGCCAUCUGGGUCGACACUGACGCUCAUGCACGAAAGCGUGGGGAGCAAACAGG
Molecule: ribosomal RNA, 253 nt
Filed under: uncultured bacterium
Lineage: Bacteria
Description: partial 16S ribosomal RNA
Rfam family: Bacterial small subunit ribosomal RNA
Source: RNAcentral